This 253-nucleotide ribosomal RNA is filed under the name uncultured bacterium. Its description in RNAcentral is "partial 16S ribosomal RNA". It matches the Rfam family "Bacterial small subunit ribosomal RNA", at positions 524 to 776 of the family's 1533-position model. The record is from RNAcentral.
UACAGAGGCCACGAGCGUUAGGCGGAAUCACUGGGCUUAAAGCGUGUGUAGGUGGAUGACUAAGUACCUUGUGAAAUCCCACGGCUCAACCGUGGAACUGCUUGGUAUACUGGUUGUCUUGAGGCACUCAGGGGCGAGCGGAACAGAUGGUGGAGCGGUGAAAUGCGUAGAUAUCAUCUGGAACGCCAAUGGUGAAGACAGCUCGCUGGGGGUGUACUGACACUGAGACACGAAAGCUAGGGGAGCAAACGGG